GCGGGAUGGUGUAACGGCAACAUAUUAGUUUCAGAGGCUAAAGAAUAAUGGUUCAAUUCCAUUACCCGCA
Molecule: transfer RNA, 70 nt
Filed under: Caudoviricetes sp.
Lineage: Duplodnaviria; Heunggongvirae; Uroviricota; Caudoviricetes
Description: tRNA-Leu
Rfam family: tRNA
About the family: Transfer RNA (tRNA) molecules are approximately 80 nucleotides in length. Their secondary structure includes four short double-helical elements and three loops (D, anti-codon, and T loops).
Source: RNAcentral